Mycena crocata is the source of this 93-nucleotide non-coding RNA. The record is from the annotation of a GenBank genome assembly. Lineage: Eukaryota; Fungi; Basidiomycota; Agaricomycetes; Agaricales; Mycenaceae.
GACCUGAUGGUGUACUGGUUACACAACCUCUUUAUCUGCACUGCCGCUUGUAAUCUUAUGAGGAAGUCCUCGGUUCGAAUCCGGGUCAGGCCC